Molecule: ribosomal RNA, 545 nt
Filed under: Bacillus sp. CSu3_17
Lineage: Bacteria; Bacillati; Bacillota; Bacilli; Caryophanales; Bacillaceae
Description: bacterial SSU rRNA
Rfam family: Bacterial small subunit ribosomal RNA
Source: RNAcentral
UGCAGUCGAGCGAAUGGAUUAAGAGCUUGCUCUUAUGAAGUUAGCGGCGGACGGGUGAGUAACACGUGGGUAACCUGCCCAUAAGACUGGGAUAACUCCGGGAAACCGGGGCUAAUACCGGAUAACAUUUUGAACCGCAUGGUUCGAAAUUGAAAGGCGGCUUCGGCUGUCACUUAUGGAUGGACCCGCGUCGCAUUAGCUAGUUGGUGAGGUAACGGCUCACCAAGGCAACGAUGCGUAGCCGACCUGAGAGGGUGAUCGGCCACACUGGGACUGAGACACGGCCCAGACUCCUACGGGAGGCAGCAGUAGGGAAUCUUCCGCAAUGGACGAAAGUCUGACGGAGCAACGCCGCGUGAGUGAUGAAGGCUUUCGGGUCGUAUAACUCUGUUGUUAGGGAAGAACAAGUGCUAGUUGAAUAAGCUGGCACCUUGACGGUACCUAACCAGAAAGCCACGGCUAACUACGUGCCAGCAGCCGCGGUAAUACGUAGGUGGCAAGCGUUAUCCGGAAUUAUUGCGCGUAGAGCGCGCGCAGGUGGUUUC